RNAcentral lists this ribosomal RNA (398 nucleotides) under uncultured bacterium. RNAcentral's name for it is "partial 16S ribosomal RNA". It matches the Rfam family "Bacterial small subunit ribosomal RNA", at positions 338 to 733 of the family's 1533-position model. The record is from RNAcentral.
CCUACGGGUGGCUGCAGUGAGGAAUAUUGGUCAAUGGACGCAAGCCUGAACCAGCCAUGUAGCGUGCAGGAUGACGGCCCUACGGGUUGUAAACUGCUUUUAUACGGGGAUAACCCCCGAUACGCGUAUGUCUCUGCAUGUAUCGUACGAAUAAGGACCGGCUAACUCCGUGCCAGCAGCCGCGGUAAUACGGAGGGUCCAAGCGUUAUCCGAAUUUAUUGGGUUUAAAGGGUGCGUAGGCGGUCGGAUAAGUUAGAGGUGAAAUGCCGAGGCUCAACUUGGGCCUUGCAGCUGAUACUGGGCGGCUUGAGAGGAGGGGCGGUAGGCGGAAUGCAUGGUGUAGCGGUGAAAUGCUUAGAGAUCACACAGAACACCGAUUGCGAAGGCAGCUUACUAAG